CGCCAUCAACUCCUUCUCCUCCAGCAGAAGUUUUGACUCCCCCAGCAAUUUCUUCACCACCAACAUCCACGGCUCCUCCUUCUACCGAAAGCCCACCGAUUCCUGCAUCUCCAACUCCGUCUGUAGCGGCAUCUCCAACUCCUUCUGUAGCGGCAUCUCCACCUUCACAGUCUCCUAAUGCGAGUGUGCCUUCAACCCCGAGUCUGCCGGUUCCGGUUACUCCUAGUCCACCAGAUUCAACAACCAGCCCACCCCCGCCGAGUCUAAAUACGAA
RNAcentral lists this long non-coding RNA (274 nucleotides) under Zostera marina. RNAcentral's name for it is "long non-coding RNA (ZMAR_LNC001433)". The record is from RNAcentral. Lineage: Eukaryota; Viridiplantae; Streptophyta; Magnoliopsida; Alismatales; Zosteraceae.